Molecule: ribosomal RNA, 482 nt
Filed under: uncultured bacterium
Lineage: Bacteria
Description: partial 16S ribosomal RNA
Rfam family: Bacterial small subunit ribosomal RNA
Source: RNAcentral
AUUGAACGCUGGCGGCAUGCUUUACACAUGCAAGUCGAACGGUAACAGGCCGCAAGGUGCUGACGAGUGGCGAACGGGUGCGUAAUGCAUCGGAACGUGCCCAGUCUUGUGGGAUAACUACUCGAAAGAGUAGCUAAUACCGCAUACGAUCUAUGGAUGAAAGCGGGGGACCGUAAGGCCUCGCGCGAUUGGAUCGGCCGAUGUCAGAUUAGGUAGUUGGUUGGGUAAAGGCUCACCAAGCCAACGAUCUGUAGCUGGUCUGAGAGGACGACCAGCCACAGGGGGAAUGAGAGAAGGAAGAGACGAAGACGGGAGGAAGAAGGGGGGAAUAUGGGACAAUGGGGGAAAGCAUGAUACAGCAAUGACGAGGGAAGGAAGAAGGAAUUAGGGUUGUAAAAUGCUAUUGUACGGAAAGAAAAGGAAGUGGUUAAUAAAAGGGGAUAAGGACGGUAAAGAAAGAAUAAGCAAGGGCUAACUAAGUG